This 107-nucleotide small nuclear RNA is filed under the name Castor canadensis (American beaver). The record is from RNAcentral. Lineage: Eukaryota; Metazoa; Chordata; Mammalia; Rodentia; Castoridae.
GUGCUUGCUUUGACAGCACACACACUAAAAUUGGAAUGAUACAGAGAAGAUUAGCACAGCCCCUGUGCAAGGAUAACAUGCAAAUUUGUGAAGCAUUCCAUAUUUUU